GCAUAUAUGUAAGUGGACAUAUAUGUAUAUUGUUGUAUAAAUAGUAUGAGUUGAAUUUUAUGUUGUAUUCUAGUUGUGGUUAUGGUGAAAUUUAUAUUGGAAAUGGAAGAAAAUGGUUCAAGUUGGCAUGGAAAAUUAUUGGAAAUAGUUAUAGGAAAUUAUGUGAUUUUAAUGAAGUUUUUAUGUAAUUAUAGAAGUGGAGUUUUAAAUGUGAAUUAUUAUGUUAGUUGGUGAAUUUGGAAGGAUAAUAGUUCAUAUUGGCAUGAAAGAUUGGUUGUUAAGUGGUUAUGAGAAGUUUUGUGAUUUUAUGGUAGAUUUAUGUAAUUAUGAAAAUGAAAUUAUUAAGGUGCAAAUUAUGAUUAUGGUUGAUGAAAUUGGAAGAUGGAAAUAUGUUAUGAAUAUGUAGAUUGAAGAUUGGAAGUUUUGGAUGGAUUAUGGUUUUGGUGGAAAGUUUGUAUAUUUUGUAUAUCUUGUGAAUAUUUGGUAGAAACGAUAUGAAAUGCUUCCGAAUUAUAUUGUAAUGAUCUUGAUUAGUAAUGAAUGUAAAAACAUUGAGAUUGGUUUGGAAAUGUGAAGUUGGAAUGAAAGCUAUUGCAUUAUGUUGGAAAGAAGACUAGUUGUGUUAUAUUGUGUUUUGUAGUCAUGGUUGUUGUCAUUGUGUUGAUAGUUUGGCCGGGUUGAAUUCCCGGAUUGUUGUUGAUUAAAAAUUGGCUAAGUUGAAUUUUGGGGAUGGUGUAUUUAUAGGGGAGAUGCUGCCCAAAUUUUUGUAGACAAGUAUUGGUUAAGAUUGAAAUCUUAAAGCCUUACAAUUAACAUUUGGUAAUUGUGACCAAAUUGUAGAUUUUGGCGAACUUGAAACUUGAUUUUGGAGACGUGUAUGAAGCGGAAAAGGUCAGCAGACAGGUGGACGUGAUCCUUAGAAGCUCUACCAGCCGCACUUGACAGCGCUCCAGUUGUUCCGGAGCCUCACUCCAGCGGUACUAUUUUAUGCAUAUACAUUCGGGCUUGGUAGCACCCCGGCCCUUUCUAUGUAUAAGUGUACUAUGUCUAGAGGCUCGUAGACAGAUACGUACAGUCAGUCAGGUACAGAUAUAUGUAUAGUGUUUUGGCAUGUUAAUAUUGUUGUACAAGGUAAUAA
Long non-coding RNA from Lycium barbarum (goji berry), 1138 nucleotides. RefSeq lists it as uncharacterized. Lineage: Eukaryota; Viridiplantae; Streptophyta; Magnoliopsida; Solanales; Solanaceae. The transcript has 2 exons. The record is from RefSeq and is a predicted model, not a curated record.